Long non-coding RNA from Hyaena hyaena (striped hyena), 524 nucleotides. RefSeq lists it as uncharacterized. NCBI's taxonomy places the organism in Eukaryota, Metazoa, Chordata, Mammalia, Carnivora, Hyaenidae. The record is from RefSeq and is a predicted model, not a curated record. The transcript is spliced from 2 exons.
GCAAUUGCUAAAUAAGCUCCCCACAUCUCAUUUUCACACUUCCUCCAACCAAGUGCUGAGUUUCUAACCUUCCUAUCGAUGAGGAGAACUCGUGAGCUUGGCUAAGAUGACAGUAACACAAAACUAUCUUUUAUUUGCUAAAGAUUAUUCCUUUUGUGAGAUGAGAGAAGAGAUGACUGAGGUGUCAGAAUAACACUGAUCUUUUUCCUUUCUUUCUUCCUCAUCAGAAGAAUAAGACAGAGCCUAGAAAAUUGCUGCAUUUAAGAGCCAUUUCUUGCCAUUGCUUUAAAUGUCCCCCUCCCCUUAUUUUCAUUGCACUUGAAAUUUCCUCUGCAGGGAAUUCCACUCUAGGCUCAAGAAGACAUCUGGCAGCAGUGAGGGGCGAGACCUGCCUUGUGGACAGUUGCUGUGAGAUUCCAAAGUCAUCUGAAGCGGAUUUGCCAAAUCAACUUUCAAACUGAGAAAAGGAGUCCUCCUACAGUUGAUUCGAGCAUACAAUAAAUUGCAUGUAGUGUAAGGACUGA